RNAcentral lists this ribosomal RNA (256 nucleotides) under uncultured bacterium. RNAcentral describes it as "partial 16S ribosomal RNA". It matches the Rfam family "Bacterial small subunit ribosomal RNA", at positions 74 to 334 of the family's 1533-position model. The record is from RNAcentral.
CAAUAUAAGUGAUGGCGACCGGCGCACGGGUGAGUAACACGUAUCCAACCUGCCGAUAACUCGGGGAUAGCCUUUCGAAAGAAAGAUUAAUACCCGAUGGUAUAAUAAAACCGCAUGGUUUAAUUAUUAAAGAAUUUCGGUUAUCGAUGGGGAUGCGUUCCAUUAGGCAGUUGGCGAGGUAACGGCUCACCAAACCUUCGAUGGAUAGGGGUUCUGAGAGGAAGGUCCCCCACAUUGGAACUGAGACACGGUCCAA